This is a long non-coding RNA of Cyprinus carpio carpio, 1292 nucleotides long. The record is from Ensembl. Lineage: Eukaryota; Metazoa; Chordata; Actinopteri; Cypriniformes; Cyprinidae.
UGGGACCAGAGCCGAUCAGCCCUAUACGCUCACUACGCAAGCUGCGUAGGGCCCCGCAAAUUACUCAAGGCCCCGCCUCCUCCUCGUGUCAUAGCGCGUCACGUCACCGUCAAUUAAUGUUUACAACAUCCAUGACAAAAUGAAGCGAAACUAUCCUUCUGGUCACGAAAAGAGGAAAAAAAAACCAUGAAAGUGAACUGCGGGAACAACAAUCAGGUAAACUUGUCUUCUCUCCUCUCUAAGUUUGAGGUCAGCAAAGUAAAGUUUAUGUGCAUUUCAGUUGUGUUUUUUCGGUCUUGCUAACCUAGCUGGGCAGGCAGGCAGUGCAUCUCUUGCAUCACUUUGUGCCUGACAAAAGUGAGAGUAAAAUACAAUUAUUUAUUACGUUUGUUUUUGAUAAACGACAAAGUGCAACGGUGUUUGUUUACUGCAGCUCGGAAAAGAUAACCGCGUCGCGUGUGUUAUCAUGCGUUCAUAUGCGCAUGCACGAAAUGAAAUGCGCAUUUUUCAAGCAGAAAUAUAUGUGGAGACCAGACAGACUGUACAAUAUAUGGGCGUGAAUGAUGGCACUCCUACAUACUUUUAAAACAAGACACUGAUUAUCUAGUCUCAGUCAAUGUGUAGUUAAAAACUCUAUAGGCCUACAACUGCACUGCACUAAUUAUGCAAAAUGGAAAGCAAUGUAUUGAUAAUUUGACAGUGAUUGACUUGAUUUAUAGGCUAUAUUGAAUUUAAAAUGUUGAUUAGCUGGACAUACUGGUCAAUGUGUGGAUGCACAUCCCUCAGUUAAUAAUAACCAUAAAUCAAGAAUUGCUUCACCAUAUAUAUUACAAAAAUAAAAAAAAACCUUUAACAUGCUAUGGCAAGCCAUUUUAGCUUUUAUUCAUUCACAGUUUAUGCAUUUUUGAUAUCAAGCAUUAAAUUUUUUUACUAUUUGCAAUGUGAACAUUCAAAUGUUUACGCAUUUGUAACUUGUAACGAGUAACAUGUAAGAUUGUGUAAAUGACUGUUUAACUAACUAUGUGAUAUUCUUCUCAGUUUCUUCUAGACAGUCCAAAUAGACUGGUGUUGCCCAUACUGAUGCCGAAAAUGCCCAGGCUGUAGAGAGAACCUAAGUUAAUCCCAAAAGCCAAAGCUCAGAGAGGGAGGAUUGUAUUGGGAUCACUGAAGUGUCAGGUGUGACUGUGUGGCAAUGGCAAAUGGUUUACAUAGCUCACGGCGUCACGGGUCAGUUAGAGGGCCCCUUAGCAGAAUUUUGCUUAGGGCCCCAGGGAGGUCAGGAUCGGCACUGC